RNAcentral lists this ribosomal RNA (366 nucleotides) under uncultured phototrophic eukaryote. RNAcentral's name for it is "SSU rRNA". It matches the Rfam family "Bacterial small subunit ribosomal RNA", at positions 524 to 896 of the family's 1533-position model. The record is from RNAcentral.
GACGGAGGAUGCAAGUGUUAUCCGGAAUCACUGGGCGUAAAGCGUCUGUAGGUGGUUUAGUAAGUCUAUUGUUAAAUCUUGAGGCUCAACUUCAAAUCAGCGAUGGAAACUGCUAGACUAGAGUGUGGCAGAGGUAAGAGGAAUUUCCAGUGGAGCGGUGAAAUGCGUAGAUAUUGGAAAGAACACCGAUGGCGAAGGCAUCUUACUGGGCCAUAACUGACACUCAGAGACGAAAGCUAGGGUAGCAAAUGGGAUUAGAUACCCCAGUAGUCUUAGCCGUAAACGAUGGAUACUAGAUGUUGUGCAUAAGCAGUAUCAUAGCUAACGCGUUAAGUAUCCCGCCUGGGGAGUACGCUCGCAAGGGUG